GGUCGAAGGUACUGUCCAUCCUGCAUAUGAUCAGGUAAAAUCAAUAAGAAUGCCAAACACUUUCUAUAAAUAUCAGCCAAUAUUAACAGUACCUUUAGAACCAAAAAUAUCAAACCAAUGCAACAAUAAUACAGCAUCAAAAUCUUCUACCUUCUUCAGGCCAGAACAUCUAAAAUUCAGCUUUAGUAAGCCUUCUAAAAAUUUUUGGUGAACCAUUAUUCGUUGGGAAAUACCAGAUAAUUAGUUCUAAAUCAUGGACCAAGCAACAAUGUAACACCCUCAUGCUAAGUAGUUCCGUACAUUCUACUGUUCCGGU
Molecule: unclassified non-coding RNA, 316 nt
Filed under: Hevea brasiliensis (rubber tree)
Lineage: Eukaryota; Viridiplantae; Streptophyta; Magnoliopsida; Malpighiales; Euphorbiaceae
Source: RNAcentral